UUCAGUGAGAGACCCUGUUUCAGAAAAUAAGAUGGAGAGUUCAAAGGACAGUGUGAUUAAAAAAUCAGUACCUGGCAUUGUUGGUGUUCUUGGCUUUGUGCAUGUAAACCUCUUUUUUUGUUUCUUUG
RNAcentral lists this small nucleolar RNA (128 nucleotides) under Jaculus jaculus (lesser Egyptian jerboa). RNAcentral describes it as "Small nucleolar RNA SNORA8 (ENSJJAG00000009885.1)". The record is from RNAcentral. Lineage: Eukaryota; Metazoa; Chordata; Mammalia; Rodentia; Dipodidae.